This 84-nucleotide ribosomal RNA is filed under the name Chloroflexota bacterium. RNAcentral's name for it is "Chloroflexi bacterium partial 16S ribosomal RNA". It matches the Rfam family "Bacterial small subunit ribosomal RNA", at positions 1 to 84 of the family's 1533-position model. The record is from RNAcentral. Lineage: Bacteria; Bacillati; Chloroflexota.
UUUUUGGCGAGUUUGAUCCUGGCUCAGGAUGAACGCUGGCGGCGUGCUUUACCAAUGUGAGUCGAACGGUACGGGUGAAGCUUC